GCGUUAAUCGGAAUUACUGGGCGUAAAGCGUGCGCAGGCGGUUAUGUAAGACAGGUGUGAAAUCCCCGGGCUUAACCUUGGAAUUGCAUUUGUGACUGCAUGGCUAGAGUGUGGCAGAGGGGGGUAGAAUUCCACGUGUAGCAGUGAAAUGCGUAGAUAUGUGGAGGAAUACCGAUGGCGAAGGCAACCCCCUGGGAUAAUACUGACGCUCAUGCACGAAAGCGUG
Molecule: ribosomal RNA, 226 nt
Filed under: uncultured bacterium
Lineage: Bacteria
Description: partial 16S ribosomal RNA
Rfam family: Bacterial small subunit ribosomal RNA
Source: RNAcentral